GUCCACGCCCUAAACGAUGAUGACUAGUUGUUGGAGGAGUUAAAUCCUUUAGUAACGCAGCUAACGCGUGAAGUCAUCCGCCUGGGGAGUACGGUCGCAAGAUUAAAACUCAAAGGAAUUGACGGGGCCCGCACAAGCGGUGGAUGAUGUGGUUUAAUUCGAUGCAACGCGAAAAACCUUACCUACCCUUGACAUGCUAGGAACGCCGCAGAAAUGUGGCGGUGCCCGAAAGGGAACCUAGACACAGGUGCUGCAUGGCUGUCGU
Molecule: ribosomal RNA, 265 nt
Filed under: uncultured bacterium
Lineage: Bacteria
Description: partial 16S ribosomal RNA
Rfam family: Bacterial small subunit ribosomal RNA
Source: RNAcentral